This is a long non-coding RNA of Micropterus dolomieu (smallmouth bass), 1335 nucleotides long. RefSeq lists it as uncharacterized. NCBI's taxonomy places the organism in Eukaryota, Metazoa, Chordata, Actinopteri, Centrarchiformes, Centrarchidae. The transcript is spliced from 6 exons. The record is from RefSeq and is a predicted model, not a curated record.
UACCGUUUCAGUUCUCUGAAAUUCACGUUGAGCUUCAUUUGAGAAACUUUACAACGUUGAUUUUUUUUCCCAUAACUAGGUUAGAUAAACGUGUCAUGUUAACACUUCGCGUUACAGCGUUAAUGUUACCUGCACCUGUAAGUUAGACGUGUUUUCGUUCGCAAACGUUAAACACCAUUUAAUUUGAAAUAAAACAAAUAACCUCGUGUCGGCGGUGGAUUUCACUGCUGGUGAUUGAUAUCCCUCUUGAGACAUGUUUACAAUUUGCUGUCGUUUGCGGGCCGAUUAAAGAUAAUCUUGCUGGUAAAUGCAAAACCUCAGACACCGCUUUCAGAUAUUUUUGCCGGCAUCUAGUUAUGUUAUGUACUGGCCUUAAAAUGCUAAUAGCUCUUGACCGAACAUAACAUCGAAUCAACAUCCAGGUCAGCAGCGGGUCGCCUGAUGCCAGCGUGUGGAGCUAAACUGUUCACCGCCUCCUACUGGUGAUGGUGUCCAAGUGUCGGCCACAUCUCUGAUAUGGGAUCACCCGGCAGCACAGGCAUUACUGCUGACAGUGUGACAGGCAGGGAGCAGAGACUUUGGGGACCGGAAAGACCACUUUUUUCCUGAGUGAGAAGGCUGGUUGAGGCAUCUGCUUUUUUGAACAGAUUCUCACCUCAGCCAACGGUCGCCAUUCUUCAGAGGAGACUGAAAAAGUGACUUCCUGGAGGCCCUUCAGUUUCCCUCCUCACCACUGUCUGUCUGCCCAUUUCCCUCCUGUUCCUGCUCUUCCAUGAAAGGUAGGUAGACCACCUGUAAGGAGAAAUGAGGCUAGAUGCUUGGCCAGGAAGCUGGAGCUCAUUGACCAGACGGGUGCGUUGGAUGAUGCGCAGAAGCUCAGUGAGCAGGUGUGGUCGGUCAGCAGAGAGGUGGUCUUGAUCCGACAGACGAGAGAAGAGGUCACUGGUCGACUCCACUGAGGUUGGGUUUCGGCCAAGCAGAUAUUUCUGCCUCUGGAGCCAUGGGGUCUGGAUCUGUGGUUGUAAGGCCACUUACUGCCUUCAUGUUCCUGCUCAACACCUGCUGCUACUGAGAGUGAAUUUUGCUGACUGAUAGUGUAUUUGGAUAGUCAAGCAUAAACAACGUACAGCCAUGAUACAUCAAUUUAUUAUACUUUAAAUGAACAAACAAACAGUUUAUUAUACUUUAAAUCAAUAAACAAACAGGUAAUCCUGCAAUUAUUUUGACAAGAAUCGUCUACUAUCCAUAUGUCAUCACAUAAAAACAUUACUUUUGAUUGGGACAGGUCACAGGAUGUGAAUAGAUUAAAUAAACAACAAACUAAAUUUUAAAAAA